Molecule: ribosomal RNA, 253 nt
Filed under: uncultured bacterium
Lineage: Bacteria
Description: partial 16S ribosomal RNA
Rfam family: Bacterial small subunit ribosomal RNA
Source: RNAcentral
UACGUAGGGGGCAAGCGUUGUCCGGAUUUAUUGGGCGUAAAGAGCGUGUAGGCGGUUUGGUAGGUCCGCUGUGAAAACUCGAGGCUCAACCUCGAGACGCCGGUGGAAACCAUCAGACUAGAGUCCGGAAGAGGAGAGUGGAAUUCCUGGUGUAGCGGUGAAAUGCGCAGAUAUCAGGAGGAACACCAAUGGCGAAGGCAGCUCGCUGGGACGUGACUGACGCUGAGACGCGAAAGCGUGGGGAGCAAACAGG